RNAcentral lists this ribosomal RNA (423 nucleotides) under uncultured bacterium. Its description in RNAcentral is "bacterial SSU rRNA". It matches the Rfam family "Bacterial small subunit ribosomal RNA", at positions 207 to 622 of the family's 1533-position model. The record is from RNAcentral.
AAGACCUUGCGCUUUUGGAGCGGCCGAKGCCUGAUUAGCUUGUUGGUAAGGUAAAAGCUUACCAAGGCUUCGAUCAGUAGCUGGUCUGAGAGGACGACCAGCCACACUGGGACUGAGACACGGCCCAGACUCCUACGGGAGGCAGCAGUGGGGAAUUUUGGACAAUGGGGGCAACCCUGAUCCAGCCAUGCCGCGUGAGUGAAGAAGGCCUUCGGGUUGUAAAGCUCUUUCAGCCGGAACGAAACGGUUACGGUUAAUACCCGUGAUUACUGACGGUACCGGAAGAAGAAGCACCGGCUAACUACGUGCCAGCAGCCGCGGUAAUACGUAGGGUGCAAGCGUUAAUCGGAAUUACUGGGCGUAAAGCGUGCGCAGGUGGUUUUGUAAGUCAGAUGUGAAAUCCCCGGGCUUAACCUGGGAACU